CAAAUUUUUCUGAAAAUUGCAAUAAUAUAUAUCUAAUACAGCUUUCACUGAUUUCAAUAAAAAAAUUUGAAUUAAACUUGAGAAAGUGAGAGGGAGACUCAGAAAGUUAAGGGGGCAGGAGAUGUCAUUUGGUCAAAGACCAAUGCAAAGAAAAAGGGAAGAAUCUUCUCAUAUAUGUACCACUUUCGUUAUCCAAUAUGUGUAUCACUUUGCUUCCUUUUAAAACAAUUGGAAGGAAAGUAAUAGGCACAUUGCUUUAAAUACAAUAUCUAUUUUGUUAUAGCUAAGAAGCUGAUUCAAUCAUCAGCCUUUUUGCCUUCUUCUUAAGAACACUGCAUUCGGUUCAUUUAAUGGGUAGAAUGUCAUAAUUAGAACUUUCAAAAUCCUGUAUAUUUGACUAUCAUCUGAAAAAUAAGGUUGAAAUUAUCGUGACAAAAGAAUUUAAUGGGAAACAUUACUAUACCACCCAAUUAUUAAAUUCUUAUUAGUACUAUACUACCCACAAUUUGCCACAUACAUGCAUAUGUGUGAAUUUAUAUACUGCAUUUAUGCAGAGUUCAAUAUCUCAUUAUUGAUUCUUUGCAGUUUGCACAAUGCACACAUUCGAAUGAAGAGCAAAUACAAAGAAAAGUAAACUCAAAAGUCUAACGCUGUUGAUGGCAGGCUAGUUGCUGUUGGUGUAAUAGAUAUCAUCCCUAAAUGUUUGUCAAGUAAAUAUUUGUUCUGGGACCCAGACUUUGCCUUCCUAUCACUAGGAAAGUACUCAGCUCUGCAAGAGAUAGGUUGGGUGUGAGAGAAUCAAAAUCCAUUGCCCUAGUCUUCAAUAUUACUAUCUUGGCUAUUAUAUUCAUUCCUGCAGCAAAAUGAGAUAUAAAGCGGCAUAUCACCCGUCUAAGCUUCUCUGCCCUCUUCGGUACCAGUGGAUUUCUUUUGAUAUUGCCAGGCCUUUGCUUUAUAAAAUGUCAUAUGUAGUCUUAUCAGAUUUUGCCAAUUUACAAAACGGAGAGUUGUCACCACCUGAUGUACAACAAUGUCAAGGAAGUGCAAUAUGAUGACAUUCACCAAGACUCAAAUGAUCCUUUUAUGUGUGAAGAUGAAGAAAUGAUUGAUCAUGAAUAUGAGAGCCUCAGUGAUGAAUCAGACACAGAAAGCACUGGUCUGAGAUCUGUUGAAAUAGAAGAUGGUGACAUCAGUAAUAUCCUAAUUGGGCUGAAGGGUUCUCAUUUGAGAUACAAGGUAUGUGUUAGUCAAUGCAGGUGCAUCGAUGACUCUGCAGCAGCUUAUAAUUUUGAUUAUUAAAGAGUUUUUUUCUCUAUUAUUAUUAUUAUUAUUAUUAUUUUUAAAGUUUAUUUAGGUAGUCAGUAUCAUAUUCAUUUAUUUUGAAGUUAUAAUGGCUAGCAGUGUUGCUGGUUUCCAGUGUUCCUCCUAGAUACGUGUCAUCCCAAAAUUCUACUUACAGAAGCUUGAUGCUAAAAAGUUAUAUGAUAAAGAAAUCUUAAGCAUGAAAUGGACUUUGAACUCUCUCCAUUUCAAGUGAAAUAAAGAAAUUUUGUUCCAUCCUAGGUAGGGUUCUGCUUGUGUCUAGUUACUGUCCUAAUCAAACACAUCCAAAUGUGGACUUGUGGAUACAACAGACACGUGUCCACAUCUGGUUGUUUCCAGUUCCUGCGAACUAUUCAUAAGCUGGAUUUAUUCUACAUACUUUAAUAAUUUAAGAAUUCAUCUCCUAAACUGCUUAUAAAUCAUAAAAUAAUAAUUAAAAAAAAAAAACUAAUAACACCAAACCGACUCUCUUGGUGUUAUGUGCAAAAAUCAUGAGAAUAAGACAUCUAGAGACUAGAAAUUAAUUUCAUGUUUGGCCAAGUACAAAGCAGACCUCAAAAUCACCACUAAUGGCCAUUCUCUAUGUCUUCCUAUUCAUCUUCAUAUUCCUAAGCAAUUCUCACAUGACAAAUUCAAGUAAGCAUGCUAAAAAAUAUAUAUAACCAAAGUUAGAUCAAUCUCUAGUUUCUCAGUCAGUAAUAUGAUUUCAGACCCCAUCUUAUCAAACUACAAGUUAAAGACUGAAAGGAUGGAAACCACUGCAAAUGAUGUUUUCAAUUUUGGUGUUGUGCUACUUCAACUUUUGACAGGAAGAAAGCCAGAAUCUCUGUUUAAAGAGGUAUGCUCUAUUUAACAUGUUGUCUCUCAUAUAGUUUAGCAUGUUACUAUUUUAUAAGUAGUUUUUUCACCUAAGAUGGUAAAUUCCAGCGGAUUAGCUGAAUAUAUUUCUAUUGUCAAUUAUCACUGAUACAGGCAAGGAAUGCAAUAAUGAAAGGAGGAAACAUAAGUGCCAUGGCAAAUCCAUGCAUAAGUGGGGCUUAUAUUGUAAAUGAAUUUCAAAAUGUAUUAUCGAUAGCUGUUCAAUGUACUACUCCAAAUGAACAAGAAAGACCAAACAUGGAAGAAGUCUUACAGAAACUUGAAGAAACCCAUAUUUUAAGUCUAAACUUCAAAUCCAACUGCAAGAAUUUUUGAAAAAAAAAAAAAAAUGUUUGGAAGUUGGAACCAGCAAUACUACAAAACAUGUUUUAUGGAUUUGUAUUAUAUAUUUCUCAUUAUAAAAUUAAGUGCCAACAAUGGUCAGUCUUGCACACAUAGAAUUGAUAGGUCUGGUCUUGAACGGUUCAAUGAUGGGAUCAGCCUAAGGGAUUGGCUUAAACCUGGGCAUAGUAAACUAAACAAAGCUGAAAGUGUGCUUAUAUUCAUGUAGUACACUCAUGUAGAACACUGAAAGUCUUUCCCUUAAUAGAAAAUAAAAAACCCAAAAGACAAGCACAACCAGACCAACAUUCUAGUAAUCAUCGAAAAAUAUAUAUUAACUAACUAACUAAAUUGAUCAAAACCCAGAAUCAAAUUACUUUCGGGAUCAAAACCCAGAAUCAAAUUAUGCAUAAAAAUCACAAAUUUACAAACAAAAAUACCCACAAGCUGAACAUGCAAGUUGAGCGAGACAUACCUUGUGAGAGGGAGACCGAGAGCGUGAGCAACAGUGCGAGAGGGAGACCGAGAGCGAGACGGCGACGGAGAAUGAGGCAGAUCGCGAGAUUGAGAGGGAGAAUGAGAGUAUUUACGAGAUUGAGAGGAAGAAUGAGAGUAUUUGUGAGGAAAUAGCUUUAGAUUGAGAGAGGGAGAUAGCUUUAGAUUGAGAGAGGGAGAUAGCGAGAUUGAGAG
Long non-coding RNA from Quercus lobata, 3213 nucleotides. RefSeq lists it as uncharacterized. The record is from RefSeq and is a predicted model, not a curated record. The transcript is spliced from 2 exons. Lineage: Eukaryota; Viridiplantae; Streptophyta; Magnoliopsida; Fagales; Fagaceae.